UACAGAGGGGGCAAGCGUUGUUCGGAAUUACUGGGCGUAAAGCGCGCGUAGGCGGAUAUUUAAGUCGGAUGUGAAAUCCCCGGGCUUAACCUGGGAAUUGCCUCCGAGACUGGAUAUCUAGAGUAUGGUAGAGGAUAGUGGAAUUUCCGGUGUAGCGGUGAAAUGCGUAGAUAUCGGAAGGAACACCAGUGGCGAAAGCGGCUAUCUGGACCAAUACUGACACUUAGGUGCGAAAGCGUGGGGAGCAAACAGG
RNAcentral lists this ribosomal RNA (253 nucleotides) under uncultured prokaryote. RNAcentral describes it as "partial 16S ribosomal RNA". It matches the Rfam family "Bacterial small subunit ribosomal RNA", at positions 524 to 776 of the family's 1533-position model. The record is from RNAcentral.